This 253-nucleotide ribosomal RNA is filed under the name uncultured bacterium. RNAcentral describes it as "partial 16S ribosomal RNA". It matches the Rfam family "Bacterial small subunit ribosomal RNA", at positions 524 to 776 of the family's 1533-position model. The record is from RNAcentral.
UACGUAGGGUGCGAGCGUUAAUCGGAAUUACUGGGCGUAAAGCGUGCGCAGGCGGUUUUGUAAGCCAGAUGUGAAAUCCCCGGGCUCAACCUGGGAACUGCAUUUGGGACUACAAGGCUAGAGUGUGUCAGAGGGGGGUAGAAUUCCACGUGUAGCAGUGAAAUGCGUAGAUAUGUGGAGGAACAUCAGUGGCGAAGGCGCCUUCCUGGCUUAAAACUGACACUGUGGCGCGAAAGCGUGGGUAGCAAACAGG